GAAAGACCAAUAAAAUUAUUUUUGAUUACUUAAGGAAUUUCCACCUUAAACAAUAUUACAUGGAAGAAAUAUAAUUACAUUACGGAUCUACCUAAAAUAUAAUGAAUAACACUGAAAAAUAAGUAAUAAAGUAUUGCCUUAUUCAUUCAAACGAUACAUAAUUUAUUCGAAAAACAAUAAUAUAAAAUAGAAAGGGGAAGGAAAACAUUCUGUAUAUGCAAUCUCUCAGCCUUUAGAAACAUGCAUCCAAGACACAGCAGCAACACAAUGCAGCACAACUGCAUGAAAAUAAUGACAGAUCAAAAUAUACUGAUAUAUUAAUUGCAUGUUAGAGAGAGAAAGAAAAGUGACUAAUUGAUUACCAUCCUUUCCAGAACCCAUCACCCUUGGACUUGGUUUCCACCACUGAUUUCUGAGGGUACUGUGGAGAUUCUUUGGUGGGAUAACCAAUAGGUGGUUGAGCAGGUGCAGAUGACGGUGGAGGAUACGCUACAUUGAAAGAAUUUGAAGCUAGCAUCAUAUUAGUAUAGCCACUUGCAUAAUAGAAAUAAACGAUUUCAAAUUGCUAGCUAAAGGAAUUGAAGCCUCAAUUUAUAAGCAUAGGAAUAUAAUUUCUGAAGGAGUUUAGGUUCUGAAAUGUAUGCGGUGAGUUGUGACUUCCAUAGAACAAGAUGAAUUAGUAUCUAAAAAAAAUUACAAAAUGAAUUAGCAACAAGAAAAUAUCUCAAGUCAUUGUGAGGUUUAAUUCUCAUUCUUUAAGAAACUCAAAUUGCUAGCAACCAUUUGCUAUGCAAACUGAAGAAGACCGAGAUCCCGAUUUUGCAGAGAUCAAUUACCAAAAAGUAAAUAGAUUGGCCAAAACUUGUAUCACAAUUUUAGCAAACCAAUCCUUCUAUAAAAAAAUACCUGUGAAUAUAAACAAAAAAUACCAUCCUAGAGGUACUAAAACAUAUUCCUAAAAGAUGUUUUUUUGUUUGUUAAUACUUUAUGCUAAACAUGGUGUUAAAUUACGAGUCACAACUACUCUCGACAGGAAAAAAAACAAGACAUGAAGGUGCAGCCCGUUGAAGAGAAUUUAAAUCAUCUCAACCGUAUAUGAUUUCUUUUGAAGUAUAGUGUGAUUUUUUAAAAUUGGAAUCAUGAGUUGCGAUUAAAGUUUAAAACCAUGAUUCUAAUUACAGUUUAAGCAUGGCAUGUUUUGAGUAUAAAGCAUGGACAAUAUCUAUGCAGGGACUUCACCUGUAGUACUCUGGCCUGAGCUCAUCUUCAAACGAUGGAAUUCUUAACACACCAAAUAACCGGAAAAAAAAAAAAAAAGAGGGGGGAUGAAAUAGGACGAAAUUAAGAUUAUAGUUUUCAAAUAUAUACAAAUGGUAAGCGAAGAUAUCAAGGUGUAACAAAAGAAAUUAAUUAUGUUACUUGGAAGGCAACGGAAAGAACAAGGGACGGCACACCGCUUGAAAUGUGAUGUUUUUAUUUUUUUUUCAGUCUUCAGAAAUAUAUAGAGCUUUAAAUUAUUUUCAUAAUAUUUGAGUGAAGUGCACAAG
RNAcentral lists this long non-coding RNA (1547 nucleotides) under Glycine max (soybean). RNAcentral's name for it is "long non-coding RNA (GMAX_LNC002763)". The record is from RNAcentral. Lineage: Eukaryota; Viridiplantae; Streptophyta; Magnoliopsida; Fabales; Fabaceae.